Pipistrellus kuhlii (Kuhl's pipistrelle) is the source of this 160-nucleotide long non-coding RNA. RefSeq lists it as uncharacterized. The transcript is spliced from 3 exons. The record is from RefSeq and is a predicted model, not a curated record. Lineage: Eukaryota; Metazoa; Chordata; Mammalia; Chiroptera; Vespertilionidae.
GCCCUAACUGGUUUGGCUCAGUGGAUAGAGCUGUGGACGAAAGGGGCCGCAUGCUGACCUGACAAGCUCAGGGGAGGCCUGCAUGGCGGUCUUGCAAACUCAGAGACCUAAAGUAAUCAUAAAAGAUGGUCUGAAAUGAAAAUUUUAACUAAAAGCAAUU